Molecule: ribosomal RNA, 1506 nt
Filed under: Triticum aestivum (bread wheat)
Lineage: Eukaryota; Viridiplantae; Streptophyta; Magnoliopsida; Poales; Poaceae
Description: partial small subunit ribosomal RNA
Source: RNAcentral
AUGGACUACGGGAAGAGGCAGCAGGGCGGGGUGGUGGCGAUCGAGUGCGUGGCGGGCGGGUCGCGGGCGGAGGAGUGGGGCACGGGCUGCACCGAGACGGUGCAGACCGGCGACGUCGUGGAGGAGCUCCUCAUCGGGGUCGGCGGCCGCGGCGGGCCGGCCGUGCACGCCGCGCCCUUCAAGGGCGGCCGCGCCGCGCUGCAGAAGCUGCUGCACGCCGCCUACAAGCGCGGGGACACGUCCGUGGAGGUGCGCGUGCGGCGCCCCGCGCACGCGCAGCAGCAGCUGGUGCCGGGGGAGGUGGACAGCAGCGGCGAGCUGCUGGGCCCCGGCUCGGACGCGGCGGCCGCCAGGAUGCAGGCCUGCAUAGUGCCGCAGGAGACAACCGGCGGCGGCGGCGGGAUGGCGAUGGUGGGGCGCAGCCAGAAGUACGUGCUCCGGUCCAUCCGCGACCCCAACUACGCCGUCGGGCUCGUCGACCGCAGCGAGAGCGAAUGCGUCGCCUUCCGAGGGUCGAGGAGCUCUCGGGUGGUGUGCGCGCUGAGCAAGGCGCAGCUGCAGGACGGCUACGUGUCCUACCCGUGGGAGAAGAAGAUGAAGGAGGUGCUGCCGGUGCCCAGCUCCAGCAGCUUCCUCUCCCUGCUCGUCCUCCCCACCGCGCUCGACCGCGCCAACUCCCGCUACAACUCCGUCGACGACACGCUGGCCCGCGCCAACGCCUGGUUCCUCUCCUCGCAGGCCGCCGGCGUGCCCAUCGCCUUCCUCAACGUCCAGACCGAGGCCCUCCUCACCAAGAUCUCCGGCGACAUGGCCUCAGCGACGGUCAACUCCGGGUCACUGGCCGACCUCCCGAACCUUGCCAACGCGAGCCUGUACGGGUUCGAGGACUACCACGGCGUGGACAUCGGCGUGGUGAAGGCGGUGCGCCUCUGGUUCACAGCGGCCGCCGGAGAAAUGCCCGUGGAGAUCAUCCUCGAGGAGGGCGACACCAAGCUCGGCUUCGCCAUCAGUCGCACCGAAGAGGGCUUCCUCUACAUCUCGUCGGUCAUGGAAGACGACGGCGACCGGCCGGCGCCGUCGACGCGGUCGGGGCUGCGGGACCUCUACCGGGAGGCGAAGCGCGCGUCCAAGCUGCUGGUCAUCUCCCGGGUGUCGUGCCGCAAGGUGCUGCCGUGGAUGGUGUCCACCUCCGGGGCCAUCCGGUGCUUCGACACCGUGUCGCUCAGCCAGAAGCUGUCCCUGCACCGGCACGCCCUGCGCCCCAUCCUGCUCCACGUCCUCAUGUGGGACUUCGGCACCGACGCGCCGAACCGGCCGCAGGGGGCGCCCUGCCCGACGCCGCAGCCGUCCCCGGCGUUUGCCGAGCUGCUGCGGCAGAACUCCUUCUCGUGGGUCGACCAGCCGCCGCAGCCCGACGGCGAGCCGGGGAUGGUGCAGGGGAGGGACACCGCAGGGGACGCCUCCUUCAGGUUCCACAACUUCUCGCUGCCCAACAACUGGGUCUGA